CUCCAUGCCUUUUUAGCCGAGUUUAUUAUUUUUGCUCUCUCGAUAAAAAAUGUUACAUGCACUUCAUUCGUUUUCUCUCGCCAUUUCCGUUCUAUCCCUUCAUCAUUCAUGUUCAUCAUUCCAUUCUUCACCUCCUUCAUCACUUGAUUUGCUAUUCAUGCCCUGUGUCUAGUGUAUGAGUGGAUGCAAUAAUAAACUUUGUGAUUUGAGAAUUUUUUUUUGUUGUCAAUUGCUUAGACGGAUGUUGAUGGGAAUUGAGUUCUUGACUAUGGAGUGUUUGUAGCUAUGACAAUUCACUUGCAAAGAAUGGUGAAUGACGAGCAUUACCGCAAAGCAUUCAAGUUUUUUGCACUUAUGUGCAUAGCUUGCACUUAUGGUUGCUGCAAGUUCAGGGGAGAUGAGCUCUUCUAGAGGGAUGGUCAGAGAUUCAUUGCAGUUGACAAACGAUGUGUGUCAUUUGAAUUAAACUUGUUUGAUUUGUUUAAAUUAGGGUGGUAGGUACUCAUUUUAUAUUUCCAAUGAUAUACAAUGUAUUUUUUUUUUAAGAGAUGUAUAAUGUAUUUGUUCUUUUCAUUUUCAACCAAGUUUAGCUUUUUGAAAUCUAAUAUAUAAAUGUUUUACUGAUUGAUCUACAUAGUCUUCACUAUUCAGUAACAUUUAUGC
This 663-nucleotide long non-coding RNA is filed under the name Medicago truncatula (barrel medic). RNAcentral describes it as "lncRNA gene30124". The record is from RNAcentral. Lineage: Eukaryota; Viridiplantae; Streptophyta; Magnoliopsida; Fabales; Fabaceae.